This 468-nucleotide ribosomal RNA is filed under the name uncultured bacterium. RNAcentral's name for it is "partial 16S ribosomal RNA". It matches the Rfam family "Bacterial small subunit ribosomal RNA", at positions 28 to 507 of the family's 1533-position model. The record is from RNAcentral.
GACGAACGCUGGCGGCGUGCUUAACACAUGCAAGUCGAACGGAAAGGCCCUGCUUUUGUGGGGUGCUCGAGUGGCGAACGGGUGAGUGACACGUGAGUAACCUGCCCUUGACUUUGGGAUAACUUCAGGAAAAUGGGGCUAAUACCGGAUAGGAGCUCCUGCUGCAUGGUGGGGGUUGGAAAGUUUCGGCGGUUGGGGAUGGAAUCGCGGCUUAUCAGCUUGUUGGUGGGGUAGUGGCUUACCAAGGCUUUGAAGGGUAGCCGGCCUGAGAGGGUGACCGGCCACAUGGGUACUGCGAUACGGCCCAGACUCCUACGGGAGGCAGCAGUGGGGAGUAUGGCACAAUGGGCGGAAGCCUGAUGCAGCAACGCCGCGUGCGUGAUGACCGCCUUCGGGUUGUAAACCGCUUUCUCCUGUGACGAAGCGUGAUUGACGGUAAUGGGUAAAGAAGCACCGGCUAACUACGUG